AACACAUGCAAGUCGAACGAGAAAGGGAUUGCUUGCAAUCCUGAGUAGAGUGGCGCACGGGUGAGUAACACGUAGAUAAUCUGCCUUCAAGCCUGGGAUAACUAUCCGAAAGGAUAGCUAAUACCGGAUAAAGUCGAUCUACACAAGUAGACCGAUGAAAGAUUGCCUCUUCUUGAAAGCAAUUGUUUGGGGAUGAGUUUGCGUACCAUUAGCUAGUUGGUGGGGUAAAGGCCUACCAAGGCUGCGAUGGUUAGCUGGUCUGAGAGGAUGAUCAGUCACACUGGAACUGGAACACGGUCCAGACUCCUACGGGAGGCAGCAGUGAGGAAUUUUGCGCAAUGGGGGCAACCCUGACGCAGCAACGCCGCGUGAGUGAAGAAGGCCUUUGGGUCGUAAAGCUCUGUCAACAAGGAAGAAAUUAGGAUUUAUUAAUAGUGGGUCCUAUNGACGGACUUGUGGAGGAAGCGCCGGCUAACUCCGUGCCA
Molecule: ribosomal RNA, 485 nt
Filed under: uncultured Desulfobacter sp.
Lineage: Bacteria; Pseudomonadati; Thermodesulfobacteriota; Desulfobacteria; Desulfobacterales; Desulfobacteraceae
Description: bacterial SSU rRNA
Rfam family: Bacterial small subunit ribosomal RNA
Source: RNAcentral